RNAcentral lists this ribosomal RNA (253 nucleotides) under uncultured bacterium. RNAcentral's name for it is "partial 16S ribosomal RNA". It matches the Rfam family "Bacterial small subunit ribosomal RNA", at positions 524 to 776 of the family's 1533-position model. The record is from RNAcentral.
GACAGAGGAUGCAAGCGUUGUCCGGAAUUAUUGGGCGUAAAGAGCUCGUAGGCGGUCUGUUGCGUCCGCUGUGAAAACCCGGGGCUUAACCCCUGGCUUGCAGUGGAUACGGACAGACUAGAGGUAGGUAGGGGAGAAUGGAAUUCCCGGUGUAGCGGUGAAAUGCGCAGAUAUCGGGAGGAACACCGGUGGCGAAGGCGGUUCUCUGGGCCUUACCUGACGCUGAGGAGCGAAAGCGUGGGGAGCGAACAGG